Molecule: unclassified non-coding RNA, 4125 nt
Organism: Megachile rotundata (alfalfa leafcutting bee)
Lineage: Eukaryota; Metazoa; Arthropoda; Insecta; Hymenoptera; Megachilidae
Source: RefSeq, a predicted model, not a curated record
CAGUUUGGAGGGGCGUAGAAAGGAGGCCAUAUUGUACAGUUAAAUUGAAAGAACGAAAAUAAUUAUAUCAUCGUAUAGUUGUGCCUGUUUCGUUCCGUAUUUUUACUGUACACGUUCGCAACGGUAUCGUUUGAUUAUCGCAAUUAAAGUAAUAGUGUACAGGGACCGAUUUCAGGUUCCUACAUUUUUUGUAAAUAACUGCAAGUCGUAGUAGUGUAUCCUGAUAUCUAGGUACCGUCCGUCAGUCUACUAAAGGGGUUUAUUGCUCCGGACGAGAUGGGCACUCGGGAUGAUGAAUACGAUUAUUUAUUUAAAGUUGUUCUUAUUGGUGACUCAGGAGUAGGAAAAAGUAAUCUGUUAUCAAGAUUUACGAGAAAUGAAUUCAACUUAGAAUCAAAAUCGACUAUAGGAGUUGAAUUUGCUACACGUAGUAUACAAGUAGAUGGAAAAACUAUUAAAGCUCAGAUUUGGGACACAGCUGGACAAGAACGUUACCGUGCUAUUACAUCGGCGUACUAUCGUGGUGCGGUUGGAGCUCUGUUGGUAUAUGAUAUCGCAAAGCAUCUAACAUAUGAAAAUGUGGAAAGAUGGUUGCGGGAAUUACGGGACCAUGCUGACCAAAACAUUGUCAUUAUGUUGGUGGGAAACAAAUCUGACUUAAGGCAUCUACGUGCAGUUCCAACCGAUGAAGCAAAAGCAUUUGCAGAGAGAAAUGGCCUCUCUUUCAUUGAAACUUCUGCUUUAGACUCUACCAAUGUUGAGACAGCAUUUCAAAAUAUAUUAACAGAAAUCUACAGAAUCGUAUCGCAGAAACAGAUACGCGAUCCACCUGAAGGUGAUACAAUCCGGCCACAGAACGUAGAACCUAUCGACGUGAAACCAACAAUGAAUUCAGAGGGAAUGCGUAAGCCUUGCUGCCAGUGACUCACCUUGCUGCUUAAAAUUGUCAAGGUAUACAUUAUUUGUAUGCUUUAUUUUAAGAUACAGUUAGCAACUACCUCAAGAUAAACGAAGAAUUUGAUGUCAAACAUCAUUGACUAACAUUACAGCAAUAUAUUAUAUUAAACAAUUUUCAUGCAUUUAGUGCACAAAAUAAAUCAUCAUCUAUCGAAGACAAAGAUAAUGGUCUGUUGAGUUGGCCAAAAUACUUUCCAAACAAUAGAAGUAUGUAACACAGCAAAUGCUCUAUAGAGGCAUAAAGAUGGACAUACAAAGAGGCACAGGCGAAAAGAAAAGUGGUCGAUGGUAAACGUAACAGGUGCAUACAGUACAAGAGUCAAGACUAUUUACGGUUAUAAGUAUACCCGACUAAGUUUCCCAAAUAAUCCGGUGUUCUGGAAAGGAAUAGAUUUCUACUCUAUUGCUUGGAGACAAAUAGUAGACAAAAGUGUGUUGUUGCGAGCCGUACUUAAAAGUAUUCUUUUACAUCCUUGUUCACGGUCGCUUGGCUUCGUUAAAACACCCUAACCAGACGUCGCUUUCUCUGUAUCAGGAGAUGAGCAAAUACAUAUGCGUUCUCUUACCGGGAACACUAGGGAAACAUUAUACUUCUCAAGUUCCUUCGGAUUAUUUGGGAAAAUGUAUUGUAACUUCGCCGCUAGAAAAAGAAAAGAAAAAGAUCGAGGAGUCUAGCGACACUUAUACACCAUAGCAGAUACAUACGAAUAAAUCAUAACACGAUCGUACAACCUAAAAUACAUCAUCAGAAAUAUUUACGAAGGGCGAAAGUAUGUACGCACUUAUUCUGUCUUCGAAAUUCAUCUCUCCGUCUCUUUCUGUCUCUAUCUAUUGCUCCCUCCUCCCUCUGUUCCAAAUUUUUCUUUGUCUCUCUGAUACGUUACAAUAUGUCAAUGUUGUAUUACUGCUUCUUUGUAAUACAUGUGUACUUCUACUCAACACGUAGUGAGCGAUCGUGAAUAUAUGAAUGAUUUAUAAUAUUAUAUAAAUAAGAUUCGUCUGAAAUAUUUGGUUAAAACUUGGAGGUAUAGUCUGCGAAUUGCAAAGACGAUGGAAAUUUUUAUAGUUGUAUUGGUCUCCAUAAUGUUGUGUUGAUAAAAUGUAUAAAAUAUUUGCAAUGUUAUUGUUACAGAUUAUUUGUCCCUCCACGAGAAAGCUACUUGAAGCAUCCUUGAAUAAAGAGAGCAAAGGAUAAUUUAUGGAAGCCAUAAUUUUUGUCAAAAUUAAAAUCUUAAAGAUUGAACAUUAAUAUUAUAAAUUAUUGAAGAGAAAUGAGAACGGGGAAAGAAGCAAUAGUUAAGAGGGAAAUUUGUAUACAGUUUUAAAAAAAAUGUUUAAAAUAGAGGGAAGUAUCUAUCAUUGUAUAUUAAAUGCAAAUCUCUUUCAUCCUUACAAUUAGUGGUGCAUAUUCUCAAAAUUUAACCAAAUAUUUUAGACACAAUCUACACAGUAACACAUGAAGUCUUGCGGUUAAAUAUACAGGUGCACAACAUAGAAGAAACAAAAAGAACGAUAAUAGCAAAAAACUGCUUACUAUCGAACAUACAAGAAAGCAAUGAUGAACAAAGCUGAAUCGGAUUUAACACUUUAUUGUUGCUCACUCUCUGCUUUCGAAUUUGCACCGUAGCGUUGACCUUGAAGUACGAUAAGGAGCAUGUCCACAAAAAAAGGCUUAUAAAAGUACUUUAUUUUUUUCUCUUCCGGAAAGAGAAGAAAAAAAAGAAAGAAAACAAACUGAAAGAGAACAUGAGAAUCAUCGUAGAUACACAAAUUGAAACUAUGCGUAAGUGAUGAGAAAGUACGCGAGAAACAGUCGUGAUAUUGUAUCGUACUUUCUAGCGUCUAAUAAGUAUUGCUUUAAUGUGUGUAGCCGCAAUGUAAUCUGUUAUCAUUACGAGUCCUCGUUGUAUCUUGAUGAAUAAAUAGAGAGUGAGUAAAACGUUGAAAUAUUAAGAUAUCUAAACCUCGUUCCGUUGUGCGAGGCCUUCAAUGGUUCGUGUAAUAAAAUAUCAUCGAGCCAAUUGUCCAGAGACAUGGAAAACAGUCUGUUCAAGAUACGGGGGAAUAUACUUAAUAACGAAUUUUACAAUACUUUUUAUGAUACUGCCAUUCAUGAUUUUUAUAGUGCUUUAUGAAACAGGUAAACCUCGUCGAUUUCAGCAACCUUCACAUGUUAUUAAGGUUACAAGCUCUUGAAUAAUUUUGCCUAUAUCGCUGUUCAAGUUACAGUCACCUAACAAAAAUUCGUUAUACAAUUUUAUUUAGUAAUGUACAAAUUCGUAAGAACUUUAGAAUACUUAAAAUGUACACCAUUAUCAAAAUCUGUUUACGAUAGCUGGCAGGCAGAAUUAUUCACAAAAUUGACCUUCAAACACGUAUCAAGGUCACUGAAAUCGACGAGGUUCACAUUCUCCGAUUAAAGGUUGUAUUCAUUUUUAUAUAAAAAUUAAACAUAAUGAGAGAACAUUGUUUUAUUUCGUUACUUAUAUAAAUGUUUGUAAAAAAAAUCACAUAUAACGGUUACGUUCUUUUAUUUUGUGGAGUUCAACCUGAAUCAAUUAUUUUUAGUUACGUCACGUAACGGUAAUUUUAAACGUGAUCGAAAUACUAUUUUAAAAAUAGCACGAAUGUCAUUUAAAAUAUUCGUCUUCUUCGAUGAUAAAAGGAAUUUCAUAUUACUUUUAACUAUAAUGUUGUAAAAAAACUAUAGUCAAAUGUUUAUACUAUUUUAACACAAUUAAUGCAAGAAGUAGAAUAAUCACUUCCAGUAUGUUCCCUCGUAAAAACAAUCAGCUUACAAUUCUUUUUAAAAUAAUGAUAAUAAAAAAUACCAUUUUCAUGUCGACUUGCGAUAAAGUAACGACGAAAUGGAAAACGUGUUUUCCCUCCUGGUAUAUACUUCUUUAUUUUAUUUUGUACCCUUAGGUUACAAAACACGGCCCCUAUGGCACUUUGUGGUGUGAGUUGCCGUUAUGUUGAGCGAGAAUGAAUCUGUACGAACGGGAUUUAGAAUGAUAAAUUAGACAUUAUUGAACUCAGUUUAUUCUCUGUUGAUUCGAUAUAUAAAAAAUGGGGUUGCCGAGUCCACAGAAUAACGCGAGAUUUUAUUAAUCAAUGCUUUGUACUUUAUAAUUUUAUUAAUAAAAUCACUUUUGCUUUGAACACGUA